GGCUCCUGGAGGAGGACGACGAGUUUGAGGAGUUCCCGGCCGAAGAUUGGACUGGUUUAGAUGAAGAUGAAGAUGCACAUGUCUGGGAAGACAAUUGGGAUGACGACAAUGUAGAAGAUGAUUUCUCCAAUCAGUUAAGUAUAUCUAUCUCUUCUAUACAGAGCUGAAUUAGAAAAACAUGGAUACAAGAUGGAAACGUCAUAGUUUUUGCAGAAUAUGGAGUGGCUUAACAUGGAACUGUGGAUAGACUAUAUUGAGAAAAGAAGAAAAGGUGGAAAAUGAGAAGACACACCUAGUUCAUUAUCUGCUUGGAUUUAUUAUUGUUUUGUAUAAAAAAUAAAGUUUUUAAUCUUAGCCUCGUCAUACAUUCAGCCGCUACUCACCUGGUACCUUGUAGUUUGGUUCUGAAAUGCCCUGUGUGACAGAAUUCAUGGACUUACCUUGAAUGCCACUAAUGAUCUGUCAGUGGCUGACGAUCUUGCACCAGCUUCCGUCAUGGGGAGCUAAAUAUGUGUAACUAGAAUGAAGACUGUGAAUAUUUCUGUCACAGGGAAUGUGGAGGUGUCAAAAAGAAAUAAAAUACUGGUAUAUUCCAUUAAAA
Molecule: long non-coding RNA, 601 nt
Organism: Pseudopipra pipra
Lineage: Eukaryota; Metazoa; Chordata; Aves; Passeriformes; Pipridae
Exons: 3
Source: RefSeq, a predicted model, not a curated record